This is a long non-coding RNA of Lytechinus pictus (painted urchin), 1204 nucleotides long. RefSeq lists it as uncharacterized. The record is from RefSeq and is a predicted model, not a curated record. Lineage: Eukaryota; Metazoa; Echinodermata; Echinoidea; Temnopleuroida; Toxopneustidae. The transcript has 3 exons.
UUUUUAUUUGAUGCUCACUUUUUAUUUGAUGGACACUUUUUAUUUGAUCGUCACUUCUUCUUUGAUGGUCACUGUACAUUUGAUCAUCGCUUUUCAUUUGAUCAUCACAAUUUCAGUUGAUGGUUUCGGCAUUCCAUACAUGGUCGAUUUAUAUUUGAUGGUCACUUUUCAUUUGAUCGUCGCUUUUUAUUUGAUCGUCACUUUUCAUUUGGUCGUCGCUUUUCAGAGUACGUGCGCAUAAACGUGUCGCAGUGAGCACUGAGCAGAUCCAUGGAUAAAAUAGCGCAGCUUGGUAUCAGUUGAACGCGCGCGUGCUGCUCGAUGUGCUACCAUAUGUAUAUGCUGUGUACACUUCGAACCAUAGACUAAUAAAUACGUAUAGACUGAAAGGUAGCACCCGCGGAAAAGCCACAUUUAAAUAACAUUUGCAUAUAACGUAUAGAUACUCCAUAGAAGCUCCAUGGUGAUAAGCGUAUUUUUUACCACUUUCGGCCACACCCCCCGGGAGACAUUUGAACCGAAUCCUAAGCCCCCAUUUGCAUAUUGCUAAUGAAUCAUUUAUUUUUUCUUUGCGUACUCGCAAGAUACUGUGAUGUGAUUGGAUCUUACCUUAUGAAUAAUGUAUUUUUCUAUUGAAAUUCGUACGUCAUAAUUUGACCCCCAUCGUCACUUCCGCUUAAUUAAAGGCUGAAAGAUGACGUCACCCGCACAGAAGAAGAUUAUGUCCUUGAAAGAUUUUCGACAUAGAACAUGAUGCUGCUUCACAUCCUCUUUUAGAGACUCGAGGAUUACAAGACCGAAUUAAGCUGCAGGACCCUCCUGAUUCAAAAAGAUAUGGAACAUGACUCUGCUUCACAUCCUCUGUUUUAGAGACUCAAGAAAUACAAGACAAAAUUAAGGGUUUGCUUUUUAAUUCCAAUAAUAAUUUUCUGGAGGAAGAAUUAGGGAAUAAUGCAUUGACAAUAUGCCAAACAUCCUAUAUCAAACUGAAUUACUGCAUGUAUUUACAAUAGAGUAUUGUAACCGCCCCCCCCCCACACUACUGACCAAACAAAACCCAUAAACAAUUUAAGAGGGAUAGGGUUAUUUUAGGGGUAAUUAUACUUGCUUAUUGUAGCAGUAGUUUUUACAAUUAUGGAUGUAGAUAAUGAUAAUGUUUAUAAUAAUAAUACUUAGAAUAAUAAAUUUAUUUCAAUGACAUAAC